UCCAACCUUUGCCUUUUUCUUUGCUGCGGCC
RNAcentral lists this non-coding RNA (31 nucleotides) under Homo sapiens (human). Lineage: Eukaryota; Metazoa; Chordata; Mammalia; Primates; Hominidae. The record is from RNAcentral.